Molecule: small nuclear RNA, 100 nt
Filed under: Adineta vaga
Lineage: Eukaryota; Metazoa; Rotifera; Eurotatoria; Adinetida; Adinetidae
Source: RNAcentral
AUUAUCGUCUAGUGUACAUAAUAAAACUGCAACGAUAGAGAGAGGAUUAGCUUGGCCUCUGUACAAGGAUGAUACCGAAUACCAUGAAGUCAACACUUUU